CCGCGCAAGUCCAUCGGGAAAUCCACCUGCUCAACAGGUGGGCGCCCGGUAGAAACUGCGUGGCUUGGGACCGGAAGGCGCGACGGGUACGUCCGGGGUAGGAGUGAAAUCCCGUAAUCCUGGACGGACCGCCGAUGGCGAAAGCACGUCGCGAGAACGGAUCCGACAGUGAGGGACGAAAGCCAGGGUCUCGAACCGGAUUAGAUACCCGGGUAGUCCUGGCCGCAAACAAUGUCUGCUAGGUGUGGCUCCCACUACGAGUGGGUGCUGUGCCGUAGGGAAGCCGCUAAGCAGACCGCCUGGGAAGUACGUCCGCAAGGAUGAAACUUAAAGGAAUUGGCGGGGGAGCACUACAACCGGAGGAGCCUGCGGUUUAAUUGGACUCAACGCCGGACAUCUCACCAGCAUCGACUGUAAUAAUGACGAUCAGGUUGAUGACCUUAUCCGAGUUUCAGAGAGGAGGUGCAUGGCCGCCGUCAGCUCGUACCGUGAGGCGUCCUGUUAAGUCAGGCAACGAGCGAGACCCGCACUCUUACUUGCCAGCAGUACCGCGAGGUAGCUGGGGACAGUAGGAGGACCGCCGUGGCUAACACGGAGGAAGGAACGGGCAACGGUAGGUCAGUAUGCCCCGAAUGUGCUGGGCAACACGCGGGCUACAAUGGUCGAGACAAAGGGUUCCUACUCCGAAAGGAGACGGUAAUCUCAGAAACUCGAUCGUAGUUCGGAUUGUGGGCU
RNAcentral lists this ribosomal RNA (735 nucleotides) under uncultured Halobacteria archaeon. RNAcentral describes it as "bacterial SSU rRNA". It matches the Rfam family "Archaeal small subunit ribosomal RNA", at positions 529 to 1262 of the family's 1478-position model. Lineage: Archaea; Methanobacteriati; Methanobacteriota; Halobacteria. The record is from RNAcentral.